GAUGAACGCUAGCGGCAGGCUUAACACAUGCAAGUCGAGGGGUAUAGGGAGCUUGCUUCCUAGAGACCGGCGCACGGGUGCGUAACGCGUAUGCAAUCUACCUUUUGCAGAGGGAUAGCCCAGAGAAAUUUGGAUUAAUACCUCAUAGUAUGUGAGAAUGGCAUCAUUUUCACAUUAAAGUCACAACGGCAAAAGAUGAGCAUGCGUCCCAUUAGCUUGUUGGUAAGGUAACGGCUUACCAAGGCAACGAUGGGUAGGGGGUCCUGAGAGGGAGAUCCCCCACACUGGUACUGAGACACGGACCAGACUUCCUACGGGAGGGCAGCAGUGAGGAAUAUUGGA
RNAcentral lists this ribosomal RNA (342 nucleotides) under uncultured bacterium. RNAcentral's name for it is "bacterial SSU rRNA". It matches the Rfam family "Bacterial small subunit ribosomal RNA", at positions 28 to 368 of the family's 1533-position model. The record is from RNAcentral.